CGUGAGGGAAAGGCGAAAAGAACCCCGGCGAGGGGAGUGAAAAAGAACCUGAAACCGUGUACGUACAAGCAGUGGGAGCCCCACCACUAAGCCAGUGGUGAACUCCACAUACGCAUCCUUUGCUGAGGAUACGGUUAACGGAGCGAAAGCGACGUUCAACCGCAAAAGAAGCAGAGGGGGCUUAGUGGUGGGGUGACUGCGUACCUUUUGUAUAAUGGGUCAGCGACUUAUAUUCUGUAGCAAGGUUAACCGAAUAGGGGAGCCGGAGG
Molecule: ribosomal RNA, 269 nt
Filed under: Salmonella enterica subsp. enterica serovar Dublin
Lineage: Bacteria; Pseudomonadati; Pseudomonadota; Gammaproteobacteria; Enterobacterales; Enterobacteriaceae
Description: partial 23S ribosomal RNA
Rfam family: Bacterial large subunit ribosomal RNA
Source: RNAcentral